AAAGAGAGCGGCUACGUCAAAGACAAUCGUGGCUCUUUCUACUGGUAGGUUUCUUCGUAAAUUACAAUUUCAUUUUGGAACUAUUAUUGUACUACUAUAGCAUCGAAUGGAUGGAAUGGAUGUAUCUUUUAGUUGGUAAUUGGUCAUUAUAAUUAAAUUAGGAAGGAAAAUUUGUCAAUGUUGAAAUUGAGAUUUUGAAUAUGGCACUUCGGCAGUACGUUCUUUCACAAUUUGAGAGGGAAAAUGUUCUGUUGUUAUUGGCUAAUUGUGGAUAAGGUUUGAGGUUAUUGGUUAGGUUAGCCUGGCUUUCUAUAUAGAUAUAUGUUGUUGCCUGGAGAAUGAAUAGAAAUUGUUUAAAUUUUAUUUCUUAAAAGCUUAAGGAUAUUGUAUGAUUCUUUGUUGUAAAGAUUGAUUAUUAUGGGGAAAAAUCGGAUUAAAUAAUAAUUUAAUACCCAUGAUUAAUUGAGGGUUAUGUGAAACUAUUCAUUAUUAUGUCGAGUAGAGAGUCUAUCUUGCUUCUGUAAUUUUCUUACAGGUGGAUUGAAGUUAAAUGAGUUCUUAUUUUGUUUCGAUGUAAUAGAUUUUUGUUGUGGUACUAGGUUUCGAUAGAAGUUUUUAUAUAUUGGUAUAGGUAAUUAAAUUUUAGGUGUAUUGAUGUAUUAUAUAAGUAUAAUUAAAUUAUGUUAUUUAGAGGAAAUAUGACUUAACUCUAGACUUGCUAUUUGAGAAAUACUAAACUUGAUACAUUAGUUGGUAUAAAGUUUUCGGAAUUUGGUUAUAGUAAUAUGAGUGUCUACAGAUUGGUUUGCUGAUAUAUUAUGCAUACUUGAUAUACUGGAGACAUUCUAAGGCAUUGAGUAAAGGAAACACUAGGGGGAAGUAGCUUACUUGACUUCAAUUCUCUGAUGGAAGUAGGUUAUAGUUUAUUCUAUUUGAUAAAAGGACUCUUAAUAGUGAUUAAUAAGCAUUGAGUGAUAUUGUGAAGUUCCUGAUUUACUUGAUUGUGUGUUCUCUGAUUGGUCUGAAAUCCUGAGACCGUGAAAUUAAUAAUCUUGAUACCUAUCUAUCGAAGUGAUGUUUUUAAUAAAGAAGUCUUGAUAAAUAUUGUUAAUGUAGUGAAAAGUGGAGAUAAUAAAUGAUAGUUUUACAAUAUAAAUAGAUCUGAGUGACACGUUCUGACACGAUUUUAUUGAUCAAAGUAUCAUAUUCCGAUAUAGUAUUAUGGAUCAGACUGUUACAUUCUGACACGAUAUUAUGGAUCGGAGUAUGACGUUCCGACACUGUAUUAUUGGAUCCGAGUGCUAUGCUCCGACAAAGUAUAAUUGGAUCUGAGUGUCACAUUUUGACAUGAUAACAUUUAAGGAGAAAGAUAUUGAAUUAACUUAAUGUACUCAAUUUCAACGAAUUCAUUUCUCAAAUGAGCGUAUGAGGAGGCAUGAGUCCCCAUAUGUGUGCUUGAUAUUGUGAUUGAUUGUUUAUUUACUUUAAUGUUGUUGUCACUGGUUAAUAUUGUUUGUUGCUUGCCACUUACUAAGGAUAAUAGUUGACUUUAUACUAUUAUUCAUUGUAUAUUAGUUUCUAUUUUGGGUUGGCCGAUGAUACUUGCUCAGUACAUGUUGCUCCAUACUAUGCUCUACUUGUGUUUUCCUUUUAUGGAGUGCAACAAGUGUACUAACAACUCCGACUUGCCCUCAUCUCUAGCCGGUCUCUAGCAUAUUAACUUCUAGGUUGAGCACCUCAUUCAAGCUCGUAUUGGAUUCUCUUGGUCAUGACAUGAUGUCCUAUGUUUUCGAACAUAGACUAUUUUAUUUAUUUUUUUGAUGUGUUUAAACUCUUAGACUUAGUAUUUGAAGAUAAAACUCUUAGCCUUAGUAUUUUAAGAUAAAACUCUUAGUCCUUAAUUUGAGGACUUUCAGGUUUUUGGAAUGAUAUUUAGUAGACUUUAAGGGAAAUGAGUUUCUUACACUAAUAAGAUUUAGUAUUCCUCAUAAUGAUUAAUAUUUCAUAAGUUGAAUUCUAAAUAAAAGUUGGGGUUGGAUUCAUUGGUUCUCCGACCUAGGAUGUUAAGUUUGGGUGUCACUCAUGACUAGUUUCUGGUCGUGACAAGCUUGGUAUAAGAGUGUUAGGUUUGGUGAUCUCAUCACACAAGGAAAAGUCUAGUAGAUUCUUCAAGAAAACUAUAUGGAACCUCCUUUACUUUUCUUCGAGAGGAUAUUAGAUAUUAGGAAAACUUUAUUCAUUCUUUCUUCCGUGCUACUACUUGAAUUUAAUUGAAAUCUAGGUGAUAAAAAUUGGUAUAUGAACUUCUUCACUCUAUUUCACAUAUGGCUAGUACUGGAGUAUCGUUAAAACGAAAACAAAAUGUGUCCUUGAAAAUAGGCAUAUUUUCUCAAUUGACUAAAUGGUCAGUAAUGACUAGUAAUCAACAUAAUAUUUUUAUCAUAAAGUUGAUACCCUCAUUCUUCAUAGGUAUUGAUUAUGAAGAUGCGUAUACUUUCAUUGUUUAUUAUUUUGACCUACUUCAUAAUAUGAAUAUAGUUGAGAGGCUUCGUGUUUAGUUUGUUGUAUACUAGUUUCGGAGAGACGCAAAAUGUUGUGGCAGUCUCAUGUUGGCUGCCGAUUAUUAAAGGAACUACCUAUGACUUAAGGAAAUAUUAUCUAGCUUCUUCAUCAAAUUAAAUACCCCAAAUGUAGAGCGAUAAGAGGAGAGAUGGUUUCCAAAAUAAAUAUAAAUGGAAGAUAUGUGUUGUAGCCUAUUAGGUCAAUUUUGUACUUUAUCUAGACAUUUGACAACAUGCAAGAAGUUUCAUAAGGGACAACUAGAAAAUGAUCAUCAUUACUUUAGAAAAUAAAGUUAGUACAACUUUCAUAUCAUGUAUGAGUUGUUUAGCGAAUGAUGAAAUUAGGUUGUGUCAAUCGUGGUCAAAAUCUUUACUACGAUCCCAUGAAUUUAUUUUAUAUUAAGGAGGGUCAAACUUAUUAAGUGUGUUACUUUUAUUAUCGACCCGAUCAAAGAAUGAAUGCAAAUAUCUUAGGGGUAGAGACAAAAUGGAUUUAUAAUAUUUUAUCUAUAUUCAAUGGGUAUAAUUGUUUGAGCUAUUUCGGUGCAAUCUUCUCGAUAAGUAUGGUGUGUUCUAGUGAUGGAUUUAACGACCUUUCAUUGUACGGUACGGUGCUAGUGUUACGUGGAAACGAUUACAUUGAUUGUCAAGUGUAAAUACUAGCUACUUAAGGAGCUAUCAGUGGUAUGACAUGUUUAGAUAUGAGAUGCGAUGUUGCUUUUACAAUUGAAAAAAAUAACUAGUUUGUUACUACGGAAACUCGGAUUAAUGAUUAUUUUAAAGGAAAAUUUUAGUGGUGAAUCUUUUUUACGAUAUUAAUACAUUUAGGUUGUUAAAUGUAUCUUGAGGGUUCUAGGACUAGUGAUUUUUUUAAUCUCCAAAGGAGUGGAUUGAUGUUGGAAUGAAAAACUUAUAGAUAAAGAAUGUUAGUGACUAUACUUGGGUGAAUUCGAUUGGAGAUUUUAGUUCGAAAAUAUAUAUAAAAUUUUUGUAGUUAUUUGGAUCUGAUUGGUAUGACUUGUGAUGACAAACGUUUACUAAGCGUGAUGGAAAUAUGAGUUAGUGAUGGAUUGUGAUUGAGAUGCAAUUGUAGAAUAUGUAUUGUUGGUUAAAAAGAUUUUAUAUGGAAAUAAUAACUUGUGAUUAUCUAUGUUUGUGGGUUUCUACUAUUUAGAAAGUAUCGUGGUUUAAUGGAACGUUUUGAGACAUGUUGGGGUACCUCUCGAAUAUAAUUUAAAUGAGCUACAUUCAUAAUGAAAAUGAAAUAAAAAUUAGUGGGAUGAGUGUAGCCUUAGAAAAGAGGUGAGAGUAAGAAUAUUUUCUAUGAUUACAAGGACUUAAAAGUUAUGUUCAAUGAGAUUAAGAAUUGGGUUCAGUAAUGCUUAAUUUCAUCCGCUCUGGGUAUAAUAAUACUGUCAUGUGAUCAUCAGAUUGGUUUAAAAACUAGUUGAUAAGACUUGAUAUAAAAGUGUACAUAGGUCCAACUCAAGUUUGAUGAUAAGUUCGUUUGUGAUUUGAGUUUGGUAAUAAGAACAUUUUGAUUUAUAGUAAAAGAUACUGUAAGAUCGAUGGAGAGGGGUUUAAUGAUAUGUCAAGAUACAUGAAUACAUAAAAGGCUUAAAUAGAAAGAGAGAUAGCUUUAGUUUUAACAUGUGCUUGAUGAGAUAUCUUUGAUUCUAAUGAUGAUUUGGGAGUAAGGUCGAUGAUCGGUGUGGUUAUGAUAUUUUUUAUAGUAUUAAGAUUAUUGAAUUCGGUGGAUGUGGCAUUCAAUAAAUCAAGUAUGUGUGAAAUUAUAAUAUGGACUAAGUUGGUGAUUGUGGGUAACUAAAAAAAUAUAUCAAAGAUAUAGAUUAAGAUGAAUAAAAAUGUUUGAUACGGGCACUAUUAGGGGCGUCAAAUGCGCGGGCUAGUUUGAAAAUGAAAAUAUUAAAAUGGGUUAAACAGAAAUCGGGUUGAGUCUUUACCCAUCCAAGUUUUCUUUGGGCUCAAAUGUGUUGGGCACAAGUGGGCUAAAAAUGUUAUGAGACUUGACCCGCCCAUUUUGACCUGAUAAAUCUCAAUAACAUAACAUAUUGUUAUUGAACUUUUAUAAUUUACAAUUUAGAUUUCAACUCAAGAUUUUUUUGUUAAAAAGGUAACAAAUGGAUUAGAUAAAUCCUUAAAAAUGUUAAAUAAAAAAUACUUCAUACCUUUAAUAAAGGAGCAUAUCUUAAUUAUAAGUUUUAAAACAGGUUGAAAUUUGGGAUUGAAUUGGGCUCAAUUGGAAAUUUUCUUCAAAUGGGUUAAGUUUAAAUGCAUUGAGAUCGAUCCCAAUUCAAAUUAUCUUGAGUCCAACCCUUAAAAUUCUGGGUGCGUUACCUAUGUUUUAGUUAGUUUUUGACACCCCUAGGCCCUAUGGGAGGAGGAUCUAGAGUUAUUAGACCUGGUUAUGUACAUUCUUAUGUGACCAACUACUUCAUUAUGGUCAUGGUUUAGAAUAUAGUUUACUUUCUCUAUCCGUGUGUGUUUUCGCUUUAUGGGUGAGUCCCUCGUAGUGGAUCACGUGUACCUAUAUGUGACAUGCUCUUGAUUGGGUAGGAUGUUUAGGCAUACUUGGUUAUCUCAAAUGACAUAUUUGGUGUUGUCUUGGAUCUAUUAAAGUUACUAGACAUUCUACAUAUACAAUUUUUCUUAUGAGAAUUUAUAGGAGAACUAUCAUAAAAUUUUACAGUUGUUUCGACUUAAGAAUUAUCUCAUUAUCGGUAUCAUGUUUUGACUAAGUGUAGAUAUCCAACUAGUUGGUUUGAUACUUUUGAUAUGAGACCUUGAAUACUAAUAUUUUGAAGGAAUUGUUGACACAACUACCCUUUUUUACCCUCACCUUCUUUUGAUUGUUCGAGAGUGAACCUGUGUACAUUGAUAUGUACUGUAACGACCCAUUUGGUCGUUUUGAGAAGUAGAAAUUUUUAUUUUAUAAAUUACUUUUUGAUAGACUAUAAAUGCAUAUUUUUGACUAUUUGUAUCAAGAUUUUUGAAUUUAAUGAGAUAAUUUUUAUAAUUUAUUCAGUUGGUGGUUAAGGAAAAUAAAAGUAAACUUAGUAGUCGAUUACUUUCACACUUUUAUAGUUUUUCUUAUAUAAUAUUUAUGGAAAAUAUUUUGUAGAAAGCAUGAGGGUUUGAAAAGAGAGAGACACUGCAUCAAAACUAAUCGUGGGUCUUUCCGCUGAUACUAUUCUUUGUAAAUUACAAUCUAAUUCUUGAAAGAAUAUUGUACUACUAUAGAAUCGAAAGGAUGUAUUUUAUAGUUGAUACUUGGUUGUUAUAUUUCAAUUAGGCAGAAAAUUUUGCAAUGUUGAAACUGAAAUUUGAAAUCUGACACUUCAAAAGUACGUUCUUUAACAAUUUGAGGGGACUAAUGUUAGGGCAUUAUUGUCUAAUGAUGGAUAAGGUUUGAGGUCCUUUGUUAGAUUAGCAUGACUUAUAUUAUAUAAAUAUAUGUUAUUUGAUAGAUAUUUAUUAGAAAUUCUUUCAGUUUUAAUUCUUAAAUUCUUAAGGAAAUCCCAUUAUUAUCGGUUGUAGAGUUUGAUUAUUAUGGGAACAAGAUUGUGAGUAGAUAAAAAUUGAAUUACGAUGAUUAAUUGAGUGUUAUGGGCAAUUAUUAAUUAAUAUUAAGAGUAUAGAGUAGAUCUUGGUUCUGCAAUAUUACUUUGGGGUGGAUUAAAAUUAAUGAGUUCUUCGUUAGUUUCGAUGUGUUGUAUUUUUGUUAUGGUAGAGACUAGAGUAUAGAGUAGAUCUCGCUCAAAGUGAUGCGUUGAAUAAAAAAGACCUGAUAAAAUAUUGUUAAUACACUGAAAGAUGUGGUGAUAGUUAAUUCUACAUUAACAAUAUUUAUGGAUCGGAGUGUUACAUUCCAACCGGUAUUAUGGAUCAGAGUGUCACAAUCGAACACAACAUUAUGGAUCAGAGUGUCAUAUACUCCAUAUGACAUUAUGGAUUCGGAGUAUCACUUUUUGACAGAUUAUUAUUAGAUUGGAGUGUCACUUUUCAACAUGGAAUGAUUGGAUCAGAGUGUGACACUCCGACACAAUAACCUGAAAAGAAAAAUAUAUUGAAUUAAGUUAAUGUACUUAAUUUCAAAGAACUCAUUUUCCAAAUAUGUGUUAUGUGGAGGCAUGAGUCCCCAUACGUGCUUGAUAUAAUGAUUGAUUGUGUACUUACUUUAGUGUUGUUGUCACUCGUUCAUGUUGUUUGUUACUUGUCACCUACUAAUUUUCAUAAUUGAUUUUAUAUAACUUUUUAUUAUAUGUUAGUUUUUUUUUUGGGUUGGUUGAUGAUAUCUAUUCAUUACAUGUUGCUUUGUACUGAGCCCUACUUGUUUUUUCCAUUGUUCCUUUUCAUGACCUCCAUACUGAGCCCUACUUGUGCUUUCCUUUGUUCCCUUUCAUGAAGUGCAGCGAAUGUACCGGCGACUUUGACAUGCCCUCAGCCCUAGCUAGUCGCCAGCAUAUCAAGUUCCAGGUUGAGAUACUCAUUAAAGCUUGUGUUAGAUUCUCCCGGUCAUGAUAUGAUCUCAUUAGAUUUGGGACAUAAACUAUUUUAUUAAUUUAUUUUAGUGUCUUUAAACUCUUAGACUUAGUAUUUGAAUAUUAAAUGUCCUUAAUAUGAUGAAUUUCAGGUUUGAAAAUUACAUAUAGUAGACUUUAAUGGAUUUGUGUUUCUUACACCAAUAAGAUUUAAGCUUCCUCAUUAUGAUUAGUAUUUCAUAAGUUGAAUGAUAAAUAUAAGAUUGGGUUGGAUUAAUUUGUUCUCUCACGUAGGAGUUUAAGUGUGGGUUCCACUCAUGACUCGUUUUGGGUUGUGACACUAACUAUAAUUACUAUAAAAUAGGGGUGAAGUAAAUUCAUUACAUAACAUUAAUGGGCUGACACAAAAAAUGAAUUGUAUAAUUUUUUACAGAUAUUGUUUGUGCAUUUCUGAUAGGAGAUUUCUUGUUUUUAUUCUUCUUUAUGAACUGGUGAAAACCUUAAUUUUUAACCAAUUAAAAGGAUUUGAGACCCAUAUUAGGAUUGUCUUGUGGUGGGAUCUACUAAAAAGAACUCUUCAAGGCCACAAUUUACAAGAAGAGUUGUAACUUUUAUAAAGAAUUUUGACUUUUCGGAAGAGUUGCGACUGUUCUGAAGAGUUGACACUUAGAUGAAAAGUUAUGACUUUUUCGUAAGUUUGUUGCUUUUUUGAAGGGUUGUGCGUUUUCUGAUAUGUCACAACAAAAAGUCAUUUACACUAUCAUCUAUUCUCUAUAAAUAGAUGGGUUUCUCUUAUUUUUCAUUAACAAAAUUUUGAACUUUUUUCUUUUCUACUAAAUAUAGUAUUCUAAAUGAAUUUUACUACUGUUGACAGAUUUGCUGACACCAUGGUUUUCACAAUUAAUACACCGGUGAGUAACAUUAUUCUAUUAUGAGAGGAAUAUUCCAUCAACCUUGAGUACUUGAGGGAACUAAUUUUCUUAAGAAAACAUAUUGUAUUCAGUGGGGUCAAUUUUAUUUUUGAGAAUUUUUUCUAUUAUUGUUUUUAACUAGUAAAAUUACACGCGCUUCGCGCGAGAACUUAAUAUAAGAGAAUUUAUAAAAUAAUAUUAUAAAUUUAUCAGUUAUUAAAACUAAAACACUAUAUUAUCUCACAUACAAGAUUAUUAUGUGGUAACAAACAUCGAUAAUGUAAAGGAAAUGACAUUUAUUACAUCCUAUCAUUUAUUCUUACUAACAGAAACAUAAUUUAAUUACUAAAUAAAUUAUACCAAGAUUUGUAACAUAAGCAAUCAUUAGUGAGACAUUCAAAAGGAACAAAGUACAUAAAUAUUUAGUCGUGAAGAAGAAGAAGAAGAAGAAGAAGAAGAGGAGGAGGAGGAGGAGGAGGAGGAGGAGGAGGAGGAGGACGAGGAAAUGUAGAAUUUUCGUUGUUUUAAAGGGAGAGGAAAUCCAUUUAUUUAUAGACAACAAAGGGUACCGUGCACAAAUGUUUAUUAUGCUUUAACUGAAAGGUUACAACUAUUUGGAAAAGUUGCAACCUUCUGAAAGGUCACAACCUUUCAUAAAAAUCACAUUCUUAAUAAAAGUCGCAACUUUUCAUAAAAGUCACAACUUUUAAUGAAAGUCACAACUCGUCAUAAAAUUCACAAUUCUUCAUAAAAGUCACAACUUUUCUUAAAAAUCACAACUCUUUAUUAAAGUAACAACUCUUCAUUAAAGUCAUACAUGUUAAUAAAAGUCGUAAUUUUUCAUGAAAUGAGAAGGCUAUUUUGGGAAAUAAAUAAAUUUAAAAGGGAAUUCUUGUUUGUGAUGGUGCCACAUAGGCUAGUCGAAGGUUUUCUCAUAUAUAUAUGUGUGUGUGUGUGUGUGUAUGUGUGUGUGUGUGUUAAGUUUCUAGUUUUGAUAAUAUUCUUUUAAUUUUGUUGUUUCAUACCAAGUUCUUCAAAAGUAUUUUUUAAAAGUAUCUAAGUAAUAUUUUCACACCAAAAAUAGCUUUGAAGUUUAGGUGUUUGUGUCAGGCAUGCUGCAAUAUACACAAACAUUCUAGUGAUCAGCUUUGAUGUCUCCUUGGGAGUAUAGUGUUUUUGUAGCUAAUGCCAAAAGGUCUAGCCUGUAUCUUCUUCUAAAGCAUAACUUCUUUGGAUCAAACAUUAGUUAUCUUGGUGUCUAGGAGAAUAUUCCCAACUUUGUGCUUUUCUCCUUAAGCUAUUUUUUCUCUAAUAUCUUAUAGCCAAAAUUGUUUACUUUCUACUGUGGACUUCUGAAUUUUCCUAAUUUUUAUGGUUUCAUUCUUCAAUUGGAAUCAAUAGAGUUAGAGAUUUCCAGCUAAAUGUCUUUCAAGGAGGAGGAUGGGGAGAUUCGUGCACAUGUUGUAUAAAAUGGGAGUACUUGUAGAAUCAGUGAAUAUGGGCUUGAACUUUAUCCUCUUUCUGAGUGUGACUUUGGCGAAGGCUUACCACAUGCUCUUGGAGAUUUUCAAAAUUCUGGUGAAAAGUGGCGUUGGCAGGCAUACAAAAGAGUUUCAAGUUCAGGCAUCUUAAGAGAUAGAUAUUUGUAUAUUCCGAAGCAUUUUAGGACACCAAAAAGCGGACAGAAAAAAAAUUUCGAAGUAAGAUUUUGGUUGAAAAGUAUCUCCAUUCUGAGUAUCUUGACAUGGAUAUAAACCAAUUUUUUCCUCAUUUAGUUGGAUGAUUCCUUCGAAGAAGUCGCCAAGCUUAAAAGGCUAGAUUUUUUUGUAUAUAACAUGUAGAUAUUUAUUGAGUUGUUUGCGUCAAUUAAAAAAACACUUAAUACAUCUUUUUAUUGGCCUGAUGCCAAAUUUGUUUCUUUUUAAUCAAAUAUUUACUUCGACUCAGAUAUGAUAGAGAGGACUACAUCUUUAGGGAAAGAAUUGUAGUUUUUACUGCUUGAUUUUACUAUAAGAGCCAUUACUUGUAAGGCUGGUAACGAAAUUUGUAGAAGUUUAUAAAAAGAAAAUCCUUUUCCAGCCAUGGUUUGUGAUAUUUGUUGCACUGGACCUGUUUUUGGCGACUAUAAUGGGUACAAUUAUGUUUGAUGUGAAGCAACAAUAGAUGGAUAUAUAUGUGGACAUAUUUCCCAUCUAGACUGUGUUCUACGAGCUUACAUGGCUGGGAAAGUUAGAGGAAGCAUCGAUUUGAAUGUACAAUAUUUUAUGUCGAUACUGUGAUUCAAGGAUGGAUUUGGUUCCACAUGCUCUGAAGCUUAUGAAUACUUGCACAUCUGUUUCUUCUCGUGCUGACAUUGAAAUGAUUUUGAAUGUUGGCAUUUAUAUUUUGCUUGGGUCACAAAAAAAGAGGGGAAAAGAGUUGUUGCAUCAUAUUGAAUCAAUCAAUGCGAAAUGUCUUGCUCAGAUACAAAUAUUCAAGUCAAAGUAACUGAUUAACACAAACAAGAUGAUGAGAGGGGAGAAAAGUUACCAGUGCUAUCCACACAACCUUACUUUUUGAAUUCAUCUUGAAUACAAACUUCUUUCAUAAGCUGAUAUUAUUAUCAAACUAGUCAUUCUGGUAACUCUAAACCUCAAAUUGAAAAAAUAUAGCAUCAUAAGAAAAAAAAAAGUACAAUUCAUCAAUUAGUUAUACCUUCGCAUUGAUUGAUUCAAUAUGAUGCAACAACUCUUUUCCACUCCUUUUUUGUGAGCCAAGCAAAAUAUAAUGCCAACAUUCAAUAUCUUUUCAAUGUCAGCACGAGAUGACAUAAAUGUGCAGGUGUUUAUAAGCUUCAAAGCAUGUAGAACCAAAUCCAUCCUUGAAUCACAGUAUCGACAUAAAUAUUGUGCAUCCAAAUUGAUGAUUUCUCCAACUUUCCCAGCCAUAUAAGCUCGUAGAGAAAUGUCUAGAUGGGAAACAUGUCCACAUUCGUAUCCAUCUAUUGUUGCUUCACAUCGAACAUACUUGUACCCAUCAUAGUCGGAACCUAUUGUUUUGCAGCAAAGGAUACAACAACAACCUCGGAAAAAACAAGGUUCACUGCAACAAAUAUCACAAACCAUGGUCGGAAAACGAUUUUCUAUUGAUAAACUGCUACAAAUUUCAUUACUAGCCUUACAAGUAAUCACUCUUAUAGGAAAAUUGGACACUAAAGACAGCAAUUUUGUCCCUAAGGAUGUAGUCCUCUCUAUCAUAUUUGUGUCAAAAUCAAUAUUUGAUUAAAACAAAAACAAAUUUGGCAUUAGGUCAAUAAAAAGAAAUGUUAAGUGUUUUUUUUAAUUGACGCAAACAACAGAAUAAAUAUGUACAUUCUAUACACAAAAAGGCUAACCUUUUGAGCUUGCGACGUCUUCUAAGGAAUCAUCAAACUAAAUGAGUCAAAAAAUUGGUUUAUAUCCAUGUCAAAAUAAUCAGACUAGAGAUACUUUUCAAAUGAAAUCUUACUUCGAAAAUCAUUUUUCUGUCCACCUUUUGGAGCCUUAAAAUGCUUCGAAAGAUACAAAUAUCUAUCUCUAAAGGUGCUUGAACUUGAAACUCUUUUACUUGCCCGCCAACCCCACUUAUCACCAGCAUUUGGAAAAUCUACAGGAGCAUACGGUAAGUUCAAGCCCAAUUUCACUGAUUUCUAGAAGCACUCCCAUUAUAUACAACAUGUGCAGGACUCUCCCAAACCUCCUCCUUGGUAGAUAUUUAGCUUGAAAUCUCUAACGAUGUUGAUUCCAAUAGAAGAAUGUAACCAUAAAUAUAAGGAAACUUUAGAAGUCCACAUUCCAAAGCAAACAAUUUUGGCUAUAAAAUAUUGGAGAAAAAACUAGCUAAAGGAGAAAAGCAAGAAGUUGGGCAUAUUCUCUAGGAAACAAGAUAGCUAAUGUUUGAUCCAAAGAAGGUAUUCAUCAAAUGAAGAUGGAUAUUAGACCUUUCGGUAUGAGCUACAAAAAUACUUUCUUCCCAAGGAAACAUCAAAGUUGAUCAGUAGAAUGUUUGUGUAUAAUGCAGCAUGCCUGACAUAAACACCUAAACUUCAAAGCUACAUUUGGUGUAAAAUAUUACUAAGAUACUUUAAAAAAUACUUUUGAAGAACUUUGUAAUAAACAACAAAAUUUAGAGAAUAUUUUCAAAACUAGAAACUUAAAACCAAUAAAGAUAAUAGAAUCUGAAACAAAUUAAAAAUAAUAAAGAAAAUAUUUUCUCAAAAAAAAAAAGUUGACCCCACUGAAUGCAAAAUGUUUUUUAAGAACUAUAGAAGGGGAAGGUAGAGAGGAGAACUUGUUUAUGGAAGAAUACUAUUUUAUUAGGUUGUUCUUGCCUUCUUGGUUUGCUUGGGUUAAUUUCAAAUGAAUAUGGUCACCCCUAUUCAUACAAGAGUAGGAAUGCUUGUAGAAGGUAUUCUAGAUUGAUGUAUAAAAAAAAUCUAGAUGUCCUUAUCUUCUAACUAUUGAUCAAGAAUCUAGAUUAUUCUAUAAUUCACUAUAAAUAUCUACUUCUCUAGAACAUCUACACAAUUCCUAGAUACAUCAAGUACUUAAGGUACUACUCUAUAUAACUGUAUAAAGUUCUACUAAAUAUUUAGGAUUAUUUAUAACUCCAAAAAAUCAUAUUUGUUUUUUACACUCCCCAUUAAAGUGAUUUUUUUGAAACUACCCGACAUUGUCAUGGAGAAGCUCAAACGAAGCUUUGAGGCACAUCUUGGUGAAAAUCUGGCAGUUUCUUCCAGACUCCUCGUGUUGAUUUAAAUGAUGAAGAUUUUCCCUUAUAAAAAGAUCAAUGUAAAUUAUCUCCUUGCUGAUUUCAUGAAAUCCCCCUUUCUCUUCGCUUCUCGAAAACUACAUUAUCCAGAAAAACACUAUCAAUUUUUACUGAAGUCUCAACAUCAUCAUGGGAUACACUGCCAUAUUCUUUUAUCAUCUCCUCGGUAAAUUUUUUGACAACAUCAAUGCUUUCAAAAUUCAUAUCAUUUGUCUUUAAGACUUCAAUAUCAUCUUCUUCCUCUAUUAAUCUCUACUUUCUCCAUCAGAUUUAAAAAAUUUCUCCAAGUCAUUAAUUGUCCUUAAUAUUCCAGAUGAUUGAGCAAAUACUUCUGCUUCCAAUAUAUCUCCAUCAAUGCUUUCGCUGUAUAUGUCGUUACUAGCACAUGCAGUUUCAGAUAUUGCCUUUUCGGGAUCUUUUUUUCUAUUUCUUCUAUAGAGGAUACUACAUAACCACAUGGAAUAUCCUCAAAAAUUUCAUGGUUAAUGUCAACAUCAGUUUCUUGCUUUCCAAGUGAUCGGAUAUAUAUGAUAUUCUAAAUCCUUGAUCCAGUCUCUUUCAAGAUUGAUGGAAACUAUGGUAUCUAUUGCUCAAGCCUCAGCUACUAUACCUUUUCCGAACUCUUCUCCUUCUUCGGCAAAUUUUUGUGCCAUAUUUCUUUACUUUGCUUGGAACUAUUUCUUUAUGAGCCCUACAUCGCCACAACGAUAACAUCUGAUUCAGAUGCCUGACUAAAUGAAUAGGUAAAAGAUCGGGAUAGCCGGGAUGACCUAUUUUACGAUAAGAUGAUCCAUCUCUUUGUUCGCUUCAGAGGCUAACUCGGAUAGGUUAGAUACAAGGGAAAGAUCCCAUAAAAGAUAUAUUGGAUGCUCUUUCUGAUGCCCUACCAUAUUAGUUAGAAGACUCUUUCUUCUUUCUAGGCAAGCUUGAACCACCUGAGGAUCUAGAGUGAGACAUAUCUCCUGUUUUUCCUUUAAAAUUCCUCUGUUUGUCUACAAGAGAAUUUUCUUCUCCUCUGAUAAAUACACUAGACAACUACUUGGCUAGUAAUUCCUGUGGAAACAACAAAUUUUCAAUUUUUUCCAAGGAUGGCUGUUGAGACCAACAUUGAAUUGACAUUAAAAAUUUAAUAUAUUCAUGUUUUAACCCACGAAUAAAUAUUGUUCUCAUUGUGCUUCAGAAAUAGCCUUUUUUAGAUUCAAUAGAGAUAUCUUAGAAUAUAAGUUAUUAAUCUCAAAAAAUACUCGGAGAUGGAAAGGUUACCUUAAGUGUUGUUAGCCGAUUCAUUCUCCAAUAUCUGUAGCCAAGCUUCAUUCUUCUUGUUGAACAAAUGUUAGAGGGUCCUCCAUAUUUCAUAAGCUGAUUUACACUUUAUAAUGCGAUCAAAUUAACCAGAUGAGAUUGUCCUCUUUAAAAUGAACUCCGCCUUCACAUUAACCUGCUUCCACUUUUUGUAUAUGCUACUUCAAUAUUUCGGCCCGUUAGCAGGAGGACUUGUGUCAUUCCCAUUACAAACAUCCCACAAAAUCCUCUCCAACAAGGUAUGAUUCUAUGCAAUUCUUCCAUACCUUGUAAUUGGACUUGUUUAACAACUCCACCAAGUCCAUUAUCACAGCUGAUAAAAUCGAUAUAGACAAAUUAGUUAAAUCUAGCUCUAACCCGAUCUUGAAAUAACACCCAAAAACCAAUGUCUGAUUAUGGAUCUGAUACUGUGUAGAGAGUAGCAGAAGAAAAGUGUAGUUAAGAAACCUUCUUCUAGCCCAAAAAUAUAUACUAAGAUUGGAAGAUUAAACUAAAGAAGGGGAAGCUAGAAAUGAGAACCUUUUUAUGGAAAAAUACUCUUAUUAGGUUGUUCUUGGUUUGCUUUGGUUAUGACUAUGACCACCCCAAUUUAUACUAGAAUAAGGAUUCUUCUAGAAGUUAUCAUUGAACUCGCUUUGUUCCAAGCAGUUGUAGUAUGUCACAAUAGCACACCAUCUAAAUCUCAUUUUUAAUUCAAACUACUCUGUAAUGUUAUACUUGAGCAGAGAGUCUAUUAGAAACAAUCUUUCUACCUCGUAGGGGUAAAGUUUAUAAGACUAGUUUCUGGCUUCCCCCUUAAGUCAUUGGGAUGCAGUUGUUUAUAUUCUGCGUUAUAUAAAGUCAGCUUCGAGUAAAGUACCACUCUUUGAGUAUCAAGGUUACAAGCAUAUCAUUGGAUAUACAGAUGUUAAAUGGGCAAGAUCACCAUCAAAUGGACGUAUUACAUCUGAAUAUUGUGUUUUGGUCAAGGUAAUUUUGUGUUGUGGAAGAGUAAGAAACAAAGUGUGGGUGCUCGAUCUAGUGCAGAAGGAGAAUAUUAAGCAGUAGUUGUAGCAACUUGUGAGUUAGUUUUGAUCAAACAGUUGUUGAGAGAACUAAAAACUGAAGAAAUUGAUCGGACGGAACAUCUAUGUGAUAAUAUAGCACUCCGUCUCGCAUCAAUUCCAAUAUUUCAUGAGAGGACUGACCACAUUGAGAUUUAUUAUCACUUUGUCAAGGAAUGAUAAUCUCAAGAGACAUUGUUACAAAAUCUCAACAUUUAAAUUUCCUCACCAAGUCCCUCACUGUUAAAGGCGGAGACUGUGAUAUGUUCAGUGAAUAUUUUCAAGAGGAUCUCACCUCCUCUAAAUCGUACGGUGAGGCUACCAAGGAUCACGAAAAAAGAUAUUCAUCGAUUGAAUAAUUGAAUACCGCCUAUGGAUUCUCUGGACACAACGACCAAGUUCAACCUACCUCCAAGGAAUCCCUCAAAUCAGGGAGGAACCUCUAACAUUACCAUCAAAGUUUCCACCACCAAUAUUGAAAAUCAAAUAACCCUUACAACUAAUGUUUCCAAUGUUAAGCUUCGUAGCAUGAAUAUUAGGGGAAUGGAUCCAACUAUUCCUUCGAAAGAUUACUCCUCUUUAAACAACAAUUUCAUUUUCCUCUCCUCUUCCUACAAGAAUAUAUGGUAUCUUGUGAUAAAGUGGAUAAAUUUAGAAGGAAGUUUGGUUUUAAUCAAGCCUACAACAACAAUUCUAACAAAAUCUGGAUCCUUUAGUUGAAUGAAAUUGAUGAUGAGGCCAUUCAUGAUUGGGAGCAAUAUGUUUUUCUCAAAGUUAUUCAUAAUGUUGACCAUAUUUUUCUUUCAGUUAUCUAUGAAAAAUGCACAGAGCUGAGGAAAAACUGAUGCGGUGAAUUGAGAGUUAUAGCAAAUAUUAUCCAAGAGCCUUGGGGAGUAACAUACGACUUUAAAUUUGUGGUAUCCAGUGAUGAGAAAUUUCGACGAAGGAUCAUAGAAAGGAAGAAACUCUUGAUUUCAUUGAAUGCCCUAAUAAGUGUGGUCUUCAAGAUGCAGGGUUCUGAGGUUCUUAAUCAUGGUGUGAUAGAUACCCCAUAACACUAUUAGGAAAAGAUUGGACAAACUUUUCUAUUACUCUUUAUGGUAAGACAUGUAUAUUCAUGUUACUCACUUAUCCAGAAUGUGCUCGAACCAUGCUUCACUGUUAAUUAAAAUGAAUAAUAAUACUCCUCAAACUAACAAAUACUUCAAAUUCUUGAAUAUAUAGGAGGAUCACUUUGACUUCAUGGAUAUAGUCCAAAACUCUUGGAAUGAAGAAUUCAAUCAGAAUCCUUGUAGAUCCUUCACUAGAAAAUCAAGAGGACUUGCAAAGCUAUGAGUUCUUGGUCUAGAAAGUCUUUUGGGGACCUCUACGCAUAACCUAGAAGAGUUGAAUUCCAAAUUCAAGAUUUUGAAGACAAGAGUGUAACAAAAAACACAAGAGAUAAUAAGAGAUAUCUCUCUAGGUUAACAGCCGAAUCCACUAGAUUUCUCAAACUUCAAGAGUCUAUCCUCAAUAAAAUUUCUAGGGUAAAAGGUCUUGAAGGAGAUUCUAACACGGUGUAUUUUCUCAACAUCAUCAGAGACAGGAGAAAAAGAUCGAACAUUGGGAAAUUUAUGGAUGAAGACAACAACUGCCUGGAAGGAAAUGACAAAAUUGCUGAAAGGGAUAUCAGAUUUUACAGGAAUCUCUUUAUUACUACAAUACUAACCCUGGUUAUAGCUCCCUUAAUAUUCUUCAUAGGUACAUCAAAAUGGGAACAAUAAUAUGUUCUUCUCCCUUCCAACACUCAAAGAACUUCAGGAUUGUUUAAUGUCCAUAGAUAUCGAUAGUGCUGCUAGACUAGAUGGACUAAUUGGGUAUUUUAUUUAAAGUACUUGGAGAAUCAUUGUUUCAGAUCUCCAUAAAGUUGGGACUUCCUUUUCGUAGGUGAUAUCCUUCCGAAUUUUGAUACUCAUAUUUGUCUUGUUCUUAUUCCUAAGAUUGAUCACCCCAAUUUUUUUUUUUUGAGAUCUAUGAACCUGUGUAAUGUUUUAGUAAAAGUAUCUCUAAAAUAUUGAAUAACAGACUGAUCUCUAUCAUUUCUCGAAUUAUAUCUAAGAAGAAAAGUAGAUUUUUUGAUAGCCAUGAAAUCCGUAUGUGGCCCACCACUCUUUGGACUAAUCACAUACUUCUAAACUCGGUGGAUAAUGGUCCCACCCCUCUACCCUUCACCAAUUAAAUAUCGCGCUUCAUUUUGCAUGGUGGGUGAUUUGAACCUGCGACUUAAGCCACAAAUCCUCCACCUUUUGGCACUCGAUCUAGGCCUUGGGAGAAGGAAUCAAAGUAUCUUUCUGAAAUGCAGCACCAUUACUUGAACUAUUUUUCUAUCCGAAGAAAUUAUUGGUUAUAUGGAACCCUAGACUUACCUCUACCAUGUUCUUAGGAAUCUUGGUUUCUCUGAGCAUUGAUUUUACCUCAUCCAUAAUUAUAUCUCCAACACUUUUUUAUAGUGGUAAAUGGAGGUCUUCAUGGUUUCUUUAAAUCUUCUAAGGGUUUGAAGUGAGGAGAUCGUCUUCCCCCCCCCCCCCCCCGUCUCCUCUUAAUUCUGAGUGUCGAAUUGUUGUCUCAAAUGCUUAACAAUCUGCAUAAUCACACUGCAUACAAGAGUUUUUAUAUGUGCAAUAAUAGUCCUUAAAUUAUCAUUUAACUUUUGCUAAUCACACCAUUAUUUUUUGUGAUUGUAGCAAGAGAUAUAUCAAACUAAUCACUGACAUUGUCGACAGGUAUAAACAAAUAUCUGGUCAACAGAUCAAAAAAAACAAGAGUAGCUUCAUCAUGAAAUCAAAAUCCAACAAAGUUCUAUUUGUCUGUAUUUGAUUCUGGAGCAAAGCAUCAAUGGAUUGGAUGAAUUAAUUUGAGUUACCCCUUUGCAAAAGGCGGUGAUAAUUUUAAGAAAAUUUCAAAUGUUUGUAUGGACAUCAAGGAAAAUCUAUGGUGCAACCUAAGAACCUCUUGUUAUCUUUUGGGACAUUACAUGAAGGCUAAGUACCUCGAUAAUCAACAUUAGAAAGUCAUAUGUGAAGUUAAGUCAUUG
This 18180-nucleotide long non-coding RNA is filed under the name Solanum lycopersicum (tomato). RNAcentral's name for it is "long non-coding RNA (SLYC_LNC000674)". The record is from RNAcentral. Lineage: Eukaryota; Viridiplantae; Streptophyta; Magnoliopsida; Solanales; Solanaceae.